GAUUUGCAAAUCAUUGUAUUCUGUUUUUAUUUACAAUUUACACAACGUGCCAACUUCACUGCUUUUGGGGUUCGUACCUGUCGACAUCAUUUUUAGGUCCAGAACUAUGAAAAAGGUGCCAACGUCGAUGAGGAUUGGAUGAGAGACGGUGUCAAAAGCUGCACUCAGGUCCAGUAGGAUGAGGGUGAAGAGCAGUCCAGAAUCUGCUGCAAAAACAACUACCUGUAUUAAAAGCUAAGCAGUGAAGCGCCACACAGGAGACGGAACACGUCUCCUCCUCCCCGCUGAUCGCCUUUUACUCCACUCAGCGCUACCAGCAGUCCCGCAAACAACCUCCUUUGUCAGCCUGCUAUGACUCCAUCCCCAAUGCCAGCCAGAGAGUCAGUGGGAGCACAUCAGCAGCCCGCACCAGCGCUCCACAGGUCGCCGUCAUUGUCACUGCAGGGAGGCGUUUAAGAGCCGAAAAAAGCUGCGAUGGAAGGCGGAAAAAGCUGCCAAAACUCAGGUAUAUGGAUCUGUUCACACGUGUGAUUGAUGGUGUUUGGACAUCAUUGCAACAAAAAUAUGAGGCAAUUAAAGUUCUGUGUUGUCUAUUCAAAAAGUACACACAAUGCAUUUUACAGGCAAGCAAAGAAAGUGUGAUUUAAAAAAAAAAAAAAAAAAAAAGCUUUUAUCUUUCCGAGGCAGGCGUCGCUCUCGCAUAAAUCAUCAAUAUUUCUGAUGAUGUCAAUCUCAUCAUUGAUUAAAAAGCAAGGUAAUCCUUCACACGUGGAGAUUAUUGCCUCAGCACAGCUCGCAGCUCCAGGUGCAUUCCUAUAAACAAAAUUUAAAAAAGUCUGUGUUAAUCCUUAAAGGAGGCACUUCUUUAGGAUAUGAAACUGCAGCCAGUUGAAAGGCUGUAGCCGUUUCCAAAAAUAUUGUGAUUUUUUUGAGGGACACUGGCAUAAACACUAAGUCAGUGAGUCUCAAAGUAGCACCUCAGAAAACACUAUACGACCAUAAUGACCAAUAUUAAAAUACAGUAGUGUAGUAGGCCUAAGUAUUUAUUAAAAGCAAGGCAGAGGUUUUAUUUAACAAGUAUAUUUAAUAUAUUUGGGCCACUGUAACAUUACUAACUGGCGGCGGAACGACAGGAAGCAGCUUGCAGGUAAGAAUAAUGAUUUACGCUCAUAAAUCAGGGAAAACGUUACAAAACAAACAAAACAAGCGUGCCUAACACAAGGGAAGCUAACAGGAUAGCUCACAAGGAAAGCUAAGGCGGAAUUUAGCGCGAGAAACACAAGGAAUAACAGUUGCAUGAGAGCAAACAAAAGCAACCAGAAUGAGUGAGGCGAAAAGACAGGACUAAAUAGCACUCUGAUUAGUGCCCGGGAACGGGUGAACGUCCCAAACACUAAUCAGAGGCAGGUGAACACAAUGAAUAACCAUAGCAACCAAGGAGACACAAAACAGUUGUGCUUAAACAACAAGGGUAUCAAAAACGUAAACAAACUAUGAUCCGGGCAACGGAUCAUAACAGUACCCCCCUCCUAAGGGACAGAUUCCAGAUGUCCCCAGAAAAACAAAAAUCCCAGAAAAAGUCCAAAGUCUCAAAGUAGCACCUCAGAAAACACUCUACGAACAUAAUGACCAAUAUUAAAAUACAGUAGUGUACUAGGCCUAAGUAUUUAUUAAAAGUAGGGAUGUCCGAUAAUGUCUUUUUGCCGAUAUCCGAUAUUGUCCAACUCUUUAAUUACCGAUACCGAUAUCAACCGAUACUGAUAUAUACAGUCGUGGAAUUAACACAUUAUUAUGCCUAAUUUGGACAACCAGGUAUGGUGAAGAUAAGGUCCUUUUUUAAAAAUUAAUAAAAUAAAAUAAGAUAAAUAAAUUAAAAACAUUUUCUUGAAUAAAAAAGAAAGUAAAACAAUAUAAAAACAGUUACAUAAAAGCUAGUAAUUAAUGAAAAUGAGUAAAAUUAACUGUUAAAGGUUAGUACUAUUAGUGGACCAGCAGCACGCACAAUCAUGCGUGCUUACGGACUGUACCCCUUGCAGACUGUAUUGAUAUAUAUUGAUAUUUAAUGUAGGAACCAGAAUAUUAAUAACAGAAAGAAACAACCCUUUUGUGUGAAUGAGUGUGAAUGAGUGUAAAUGGGGGAGGUUUUUUUUUUUGGGUUGGUGCACUAAUUGUAAGUGUGCACUAAUUGUAAGUGUGUUUUUUAUGUUGAUUUAAUUAAAAAAAUUUUUUUUCGAAAAACAGAAAAAAACCCGAUACCGACAAUAAAAAAAACAAUACCGAUCAUUUCCGAUAUUACAUUUUAAAGCAUUUAUCGGCCGAUAAUAUCGGCCUGCCAUCUCUAAUUAAAAGCAAGGCAGAGGUUUUAUUUAACAAGUAUAUUUAAUAUAUUUGAGCCACUGUAACAUUACUAACUAGUUUCAACCAAAUUAAGUAAUUUAGUUUUUUAGUGCAUGUAAACAUACUGUGUGUAUUGAAGUACCAAUGAUUGUCACACACACACAAUAGGUGUGGCAAAAUUAUUCUCUCCAUUUGACCCAUCACCCUUGAUCACCCCCUGGGAGGUGAGGGGAGCAGUGAGCAGCAUUGAUGGUCACGCCCGGGAAUCAUUUUUGGUGAUUUAACCCCCAAUUCCAACCCUUGAUGCUGACUGCCAAACGGGGGGUAAUGGGUCCCGUUUUUAUAGUCUUUGGUAUGACUCGGCCGGGGUUUGAACUUACAACCUACCGACCUCAGGGCGGACACUCUAACCACUAGGCCACUGAGUAUGUUGGGCAUGGUAAUAUUGAUUAUAAUAAUAAUAAGAAAUAUAUAAUAAUAAUGAGAAGAAAUAAAUAGUAAUAAAUACAUAGUAAUAAUAAAAUCAUUACAUAAUAACAAUAAUAAUACAUAAAAAUAAACAAUAAAAUAAUAUGUACAAAAAAUUAUAAUAAUAAAUACAAAAAUCAUUAUAAAUACAAAAAAAUACCACACAAAUAAUAAUAAUAAAUACAAAACAUAUAUUAAAUAAAGUAAUAAUAAUAUUUUACAAAUAAUAAUAAUGUCCAGGGUGUACCCCGCCUUCUGCCCGAUUGUAGCUGAGAUAGGCUCCAGCACCCCCGCGACUCCGAAUGGGACAAGCGGUAGAAAAUGGAUGGAUGGAUGAAAGACUGGUGUUUGAAAGUAGAGGAAGAUGGAGGUUGGGUGGCUUCCAGUCAGUCCUCACGGGUAAUUUAAGACAGAUUGAGGUGCGCUGUCUCCAAGGUGGUGGCAAAUGGAGGUCUGUGAAAAAGUAAAGGCCAGCAGCGUUGACCUCAGAAAGGAAGUCAUUUUGACAAAUUUGCCAUAAAUACUGCAAUAACUUCUGAAGUAUAACAGGCCUCCCAGUGCCUCAUUAUGUUGCUUGGCUAGUACGAGGUGCACAACAAUAAUGGGGAACAUUGCCCGAGCGUUUGUUUGAGCGCGGUUAACGUAAACACGAGUGUUCAUUAGUGUAUGUCAUCCAUGAGUCAAAUCUAUCAUCUUACAUUUCUACUGUCAAGUGCCAGGUUUUAUAACCACCGGGGUGCGUUAUGUCAACAUUGGCGUGCACACAAUGGGCCUCUCUGUGUGCGACGUACUCGAACGCGGCCAUGGUGACAUGUUGCGCAACGCCUCCAUCGAGGUACUGCGAGCAAACAUGUCACACGGGCUGGAUGUUGUUUCUGGGAAAAAAAAGUAAGUGGAGAGCUGAGCGGGGUCAUGGCUGCUGCUGCUGCAGUGCACCUCAUCAGUCAGUCCAGCAGCCCAGAUGAGGGAUUGUUGAAAUUUUGGCGUUUUGCCUCUCUUGGCAUCGGAGCCAGAUGGCCCACCAGAUGAGCGAGUGGUCUUGCUUGGUUAGAAUGAGGACAAUUCCUGUUUUAACUGAGAAACUUGAAGUCCUUUCACACGCCAUCCAUCUUUUUUUUUUUGCUUUAAAUAGAGCUGCUGACACUCGUUAGUUCUGUGUGCAGAUCUGCUUUAUUUCAUCAGAGCGCUCCAGAUGACCUUGCAGCCCACAUGCAUACGUACACCUGAGUGCAAUCACACGGCACAAAGUCACGAAGGAACAAGCUGCUUGUGUAAUUUCCUACUUAAAAUGUUCCCAGAUGCCUUAUCAGUCCCUAUCAUGUUUGUUAUUGUUGUGGCCUACAAAGCCUGUUGAGAAAUUGAAGCUCGCACCGUAAACGUAAGGCAGAGCUUCUGAAUUAUUUUCUGUUUUCGCCACCCCACUCUCCGCCGCGACUAUAAAUAGUAUCAUUUGUCUGCACAAUUGUUAUAAGUACACCUCUGCAUAUCUGUAUCUGUAACAGAACCGGGGCAUGUUGAUGGUAGGGGUGUUGU
This is a long non-coding RNA of Entelurus aequoreus (snake pipefish), 4338 nucleotides long. RefSeq lists it as uncharacterized. The transcript is spliced from 3 exons. The record is from RefSeq and is a predicted model, not a curated record. Lineage: Eukaryota; Metazoa; Chordata; Actinopteri; Syngnathiformes; Syngnathidae.